UACGAAGGGGGCUAGCGUUGCUCGGAAUCACUGGGCGUAAAGCGCACGUAGGCGGGUCCUUAAGUCAGGGGUGAAAUCCCGGAGCUCAACUCCGGAACUGCCUUUGAUACUGGGGAUCUUGAGUCCGGAAGAGGUGAGUGGAACUCCGAGUGUAGAGGUGAAAUUCGUAGAUAUUCGGAAGAACACCAGUGGCGAAGGCGGCUCACUGGUCCGGUACUGACGCUGAGGUGCGAAAGCGUGGGGAGCAGACAGG
Molecule: ribosomal RNA, 253 nt
Filed under: uncultured bacterium
Lineage: Bacteria
Description: partial 16S ribosomal RNA
Rfam family: Bacterial small subunit ribosomal RNA
Source: RNAcentral